Molecule: long non-coding RNA, 197 nt
Organism: Chenopodium quinoa (quinoa)
Lineage: Eukaryota; Viridiplantae; Streptophyta; Magnoliopsida; Caryophyllales; Amaranthaceae
Exons: 3
Source: RefSeq, a predicted model, not a curated record
AUCAACAAAGAAGUACCUCGUGAUGUCUGUACUACAAAAUAUUAUGAAGAAGAUACAUGGUCGUGCUCCACGGGGUCCUACAUGGAAAUCACCUAUGUGCCCACAACAAGAUAAUGGAGUUGAUUGUGGAUUAUACGUGAUGAGAUUCAUGCUUGACAUAGCGACUCAUUGUACCAACACCAUACAUCUUGAUGAGG